Molecule: ribosomal RNA, 230 nt
Filed under: uncultured bacterium
Lineage: Bacteria
Description: partial 16S ribosomal RNA
Rfam family: Bacterial small subunit ribosomal RNA
Source: RNAcentral
UACGUAGGGGGCAAGCGUUGUCCGGAAUCUAUUGGGCGUAAAGCGCGUGUAGGCGGCCCGAUAAAGUCCGCUGUGAAAGUCCAGGGCUCAACCCUGGAAUGCCGGUGGAUACUGUCGGGCUAGAGUCCGGAAGAGGCGAGUGGAAUUCCUAGUGUAGCGGUGAAAUGCGCAGAUAUUAGGAGGAACACCGGUGGCGAAGGCGCCACUCUGGGCCGAAACUGACGCUGAGG